Long non-coding RNA from Frankliniella occidentalis (western flower thrips), 3288 nucleotides. RefSeq lists it as uncharacterized. The transcript is spliced from 3 exons. The record is from RefSeq and is a predicted model, not a curated record. NCBI's taxonomy places the organism in Eukaryota, Metazoa, Arthropoda, Insecta, Thysanoptera, Thripidae.
CAAUCCUACUCAUAACGAGAUCUGAAGCUCCUGACAGAAUAUAAAUUACUGGAUAUCCAGAUUAGAGACGAACAGGGCUUCAAUGGUUCAUACAAAUGGGCUGUUGGAAAUUUCGAGGGCAAAAAAAAGGAAGCCAACAGGAACAAUAACACUGAAUGAUAAAAUCUUAAAAGCAAUGAGGGAAAGAAUUAAAAAAGGAAAGAAUCCUCAUUAUGUCGUGCACAAAGUCACUACUAGAGAAAGAGCUGACCCUAUUAGAAGCGAAAAGUUCCAAAACCCGGCCGAGACGGGCCCAUUUAAGUCCGAUAUGCCUCGGACGGUUCCACAACUAGUCCGGUUUGUGUUCGGACUCGCCCGUUUUAAGUCCGUCCCCGGACUGGAGCGAUCCGAUAUAGGCCCGAUACCUUUCGGACAGCCCGGGCGUAAUCCGAAUGGUUUCGGGUAGCCCGGUGACCGUCCGAUACCCAUCAGACUGCCCGAUUAAAAUCCGAAAUUUGUCGGACUGUCCGGCCCCAGCCCGAAAAAUAUUUAAGUUAUAACCGCGUGCCUCCCUAAGUCGAAACUUGCCGACUCUAGGACUGUUUACAUCAGAAUAUUGUACAUUGUCAACAGAUACAAACAAUUAAUGAGGUACGAACUAUAUGACGUAAAAUGUGUUCUGUGUACGCUUGAAAGAAAAUACAGAGGAAAAAGAUGCAGAAAUUUGCCAACUACACCCUUUUCGAAUAGCUGCAAUGCUGCGAUGCAGUUCUGCAAAAUCAAUGCUUAAGUUACCCUUUCCUAGUAGCUAUUUCAGUUUUCUCUUAAUCUAAUCGGAGUAACUAAAACUAUAUGGAAAAAAUUUAUACAAACAGCUAUAGCAAAAUACUUUUUUCCGGAGUGGAAAAGAAAAAUUAAUUAUUCUCAAAAACAUGUUAUUAGGUAAGAAGCCCUGCAGAGCUGUAUUCAGUUAGCCGAAAACCGCAUCUUUUUAGGCCGCACCGUUCUCCUAUAACAGCGGCAUUUGCGCGCUGCUCGCGGUUUGAGUCAAGAGGCCUGCCGGACAGAUCCUUCCCAGAGAACCAGGUUAGCUCAGCGGUCUAAGGCGUCAACAUCACAUGGGGUAAGUCCGAGAGGUAUGGGAACGAAUCCUAGCUCAGGCCGCCGUAUUUAUUUUUUCGGGCGGGUUACGGAGUAGACCGGACUAAAAUCGGACCAGACUGACGGAGGGGGCAGAUUUUUCGGACUGCUCGUAAAUUUGUCGAGAAUUGGGACGUCCCGGAACAGUCACCGGGCUGGUCCGGUCGGACAUAAAUAGGGCUGCUCCGUCUCCGGACUCAAUUCGGGCGAGAACAUUUUCAAUAGGGGACGAUAAAGGCUCAUAUGAUAUGGUUGACUUCAAAUGGAUUUAAGUUAACUCGUUAACUUUUCAACUACCAGCUUAACUUUCGUGAUUCUUUCAUACAGAUAUGUUCGUAAUUAUUUAUUUUGCACCAGUCAUUUUUCAAUGACUACACACUGUUAAACCAAAUCGUCAUUUGACGACAAAUUUUGAUACAAUCUGUUCGUCACAAGGGUUGAGAUAAAGCAGUCGUCACAAUGUGAUCCACUAUUCGUCACUUUGUGACGCAUCAAUUGUCAUCCCAGUAAGAUGAACCAUUCGUCACAGAUUCGGUACAAUUAAAUCUUGGUGAGAUUUGAAAUAAUAUCUAAAUGUUACAAUGUCGAGACAAGGCUUAUUUUGCACUUUUGAAACAUUUUGCUGUAUUCAUCAAAAUGAUUGGUUUAAAGAUUGCCCACUAGGAAGCCUUGCUCUUAGGGCUUUGUUUAUUCAAUAAAUAAAAAAGAUUAGUUGUACUAUUGGAGCAGUGCAACUCACACACUAGUAUCUCUCUAUACUAGUGGAAAAUCAUCACUACUUUCUAGUAUAUACUGUAUGGUAGGAGCUAAAAGAAAGUAAUAAAACUGUAAAACUUACUUGUCACUUCUAACCUCAUUCAGCAACAUUGACCAAAGGAAAGAUAAGAUUUUCCAAUGCCUUACACCACCACCAAUGUAUUCAAAACCAAAGAAAUCAAAGUACUGGACAUUUUGCAGCCACACAAGUUAGUUGUCACAGUAUAAGUAAGCUCUAAUUUCAUGUUUUCACUAAACCGAAAUACACUCAGUCAACAAAUAUCGCGGUUUGUUCUAGACUGCAAAUAAACACUAAGUGUUGUGUUUACCCUAGCAGUGAUAAGAACCCCUAUGAAAAAUUUCCAGAUCACUGCAGUGUUUAGGUUCGUCUGCUUGUUGCUUUUCACGUCAGCAUGGCAACCUUCUGACUGUAGGCACCCAAUAUACUUCAAAUCGUUAAGAUUAACCAAAAUAGCGAUGCCGAGAACAAAUUAGGUACAGGUGAUCAGUUGCUAUUGUGUGUUAGAUGUAGUAAAUUUUUUUUAACACAAGUGAACCUUUCUAUGUUGUAAAUUUGUUCAUCUACUCCAAUUGCAUCAAUUGAUGCAAUUAAUUUGCAAUUAAUUGCAAUUAAAAUGUGCAUCUCCGGUUAUCAGUCUGCCAUGCGUGAGGUCUAUAUUUUUUACCUUAAAAAAUGUUGAACUUCAAGAAGAUCAUGGAAAACUGUUCACUGAACUUCACAUUAAGUUUGAAGGUAAACAGUGUGUUUAACCUAACUUUUUGGUUACUGAUCCUUUGAGUUUCCUUGUAUAGUACCAUUAUAACUGCAGUUGUUUUUACAUCAGGUAUAGGUGACAUUAUCAACAAUUCAAAUUCAUCAUGUGGUAUCACAACUUUUUUCUGGAUGUGCAUGGUGGUGUCUCCUGAUUCCCAUCCAACAUAAAACCGACGGAACUGCUGGGAGUUAUUGAGCUUUGCCACUCGUGGAUGCACAAUAUUGGUGCUAGCUUUCUUAAUCUUGCCCUCCACUUGAACCUCCACUGGUCUCUUGUGGCCAUCAUCAGGGCUGAUUGCAUAAGCAUGCCUGAAAGAGACAGGAAAUGAAGAUAUUGUGAAAACUUUCAAGAUUUUGGGUGGAUAAUUUAGACAUCUGCCUCUUACCUUUGUAGGUAUUCCAAUGUAGCUGGAGUCUUCGGGUGAUAGUUAAGAUUCAAGAUAAAAUACCUUCAGCAAUAAGCCCUGGAUAUUGUGGGAUCUGUGUUUCUCCAGGAGAGUCCACACAGAAUGUCUGCAGAGACAAAAUGUUUUGUUAUUACCACUCUCAACCAAGUAUUUUAGAAAGAAUUAUUCAAUUUUUGGCUGUUUCAAUUUUUCAACAUACCUCAUCAAGUACUAUCAGCUCCUUGUAGUCUU